GAACGCACAUUGCACUGUCUGGAAUUCCGGACAGUAUACCUGUUUGAGUAUCAGUAAAUCCUCCUACAAAAGUCUUUUUAUUAAGACCUUGUAGGGAAUUGAGUCAACACGUUAAAACGCGUGACUUUAAAUACAUUUGCUGGUGCACUACCCUUAAAGUUACUACUAGCUGAACAGAGUUAAAAGGCCUAGUGUCUUACGCUGUCUAGCUACUGAAACUACCGGUAGCAAACCGAUUCAUAAACAUACAGCUAACGACUGUGACUAUGAUCUCAAAUCAGGUAAGAUUACCCGCUGAACUUAAG
This 305-nucleotide unclassified non-coding RNA is filed under the name uncultured fungus. RNAcentral's name for it is "sequence contains 5.8S rRNA gene". The record is from RNAcentral. Lineage: Eukaryota; Fungi.